RNAcentral lists this small RNA (584 nucleotides) under Pan troglodytes (chimpanzee). RNAcentral's name for it is "retained intron". Lineage: Eukaryota; Metazoa; Chordata; Mammalia; Primates; Hominidae. The record is from RNAcentral.
CAGAGUUCUGCAGCACCCCCGCCUGCUCCGAGGGAAACAGUGACUGCUACUUUGGGAAUGGGUCAGCCUACCGUGGCACGCACAGCCUCACCGAGUCGGGUGCCUCCUGCCUCCCGUGGAAUUCCAUGAUCCUGAUAGGCAAGGUUUACACAGCACAGAACCCCAGUGCCCAGGCACUGGGCCUGGGCAAACAUAAUUACUGCCGGUAGGUAGCACAGGGGUUGGGGGUUCAGGUCUCGGCAGAACGUGGGAUUAGGGUGUGAGACGGGGGAAGAUCCGAUGUCUCAAGUUGCAUGACAGACCCAGUGCGUGGGAAGCACCCAUGGAUAUUAUCUAGUCCAACCUCUUCACUUGCUAGAAUAACACAUAUUGUGAAAAGCAAGGUCUACCAGUUUUCCAACCUAAAUCCCAAGUUAAGGGUCCUGGCCUGUAACCAUUUAGUCCUCAGCUGUUCUCAUGACAUCUUUAUUGCAAUGAUUUGUAAGAGUUCCGUAACAGGACAGCUCACAGUUCUGUCUGACAACCCUAUGAGAUUAGAACACUACAUUACUGACUGGAUAACAAAGUUAAAGAGAAGUUCUCCU